Molecule: ribosomal RNA, 274 nt
Filed under: uncultured bacterium
Lineage: Bacteria
Description: partial 16S ribosomal RNA
Rfam family: Bacterial small subunit ribosomal RNA
Source: RNAcentral
AUACAGAGGGUGCAAGCGUUAAUCGGAAUUACUGGGCGUAAAGCGCGCGUAGGCGGUUUGUUAAGUCGGAUGUGAAAUCCCCGGGCUCAACCUGGGAACUGCAUUCGAAACUGGCGAGCUUGAGUAUGGUAGAGGAUAGUGGAAUUCCGGGUGUAGCGGUGAAAUGCGUAGAUAUCCGGAGGAACAUCAGUGGCGAAGGCGGCUAUCUGGACCAAUACUGACGCUGAGGUGCGAAAGCGUGGGGAGCAAACAGGAUUAGAAACCCUAGUAGUCC